AUGGAUGUUAAGACUGCUUUCCUAAAUGGAGAGUUGGAUGAUGAAAUUUAUAUGGAACAACCAGAUGGGUUUGUAAUAGAUGGUCAGGAAGGGAAAGUGUGCAAGUUGCUGAAGUCUUUGUAUGGACUCAAGCAAGCACCCAAACAGUGGCAUGAGAAGUUUGAAAGAACUUUAAUAGCUGUAGGCUUUGUUGUGAACAAAGCUGACAAAUGUGUGUACUAUCGCCAUGGUGGGGGCGAGGGAGUUAUCCUUUGCUUGUAUGUUGAUGACAUACUGAUUUACGGAACAAAUCUGAAUUUUAUUAAGGAGGUCAAGGAUUUCCUAUCUCGCUGUUUUGAUAUGAAGGAUUUAGGAGUGGCUGAUGUCAUUCUGAACAUCGAGUUGUUGAGGGACGAUGAUGGUGGGAUUACAUUGCUUCAAUCUCACUAUGUGGAAAAGAUCUUGAGUCGCUUUGGCUACAAUAACUGCAAGCCCUCUCCAACACCAUAUGAUGCUAGUGUGUUGCUUCAAAAGAAUUGA
This 519-nucleotide ribosomal RNA is filed under the name Triticum aestivum (bread wheat). Its description in RNAcentral is "partial small subunit ribosomal RNA". Lineage: Eukaryota; Viridiplantae; Streptophyta; Magnoliopsida; Poales; Poaceae. The record is from RNAcentral.